GAAGCUCAAUGGUAGAGCAUCUCCUUUGCAUGCAGAAGUUAACAAGUUCAAUCCUUGGCAUCUGCA
This is a non-coding RNA of Podarcis lilfordi (Lilford's wall lizard), 66 nucleotides long. NCBI's taxonomy places the organism in Eukaryota, Metazoa, Chordata, Lepidosauria, Squamata, Lacertidae. The record is from the annotation of a GenBank genome assembly.